This 420-nucleotide ribosomal RNA is filed under the name uncultured bacterium. Its description in RNAcentral is "bacterial SSU rRNA". It matches the Rfam family "Bacterial small subunit ribosomal RNA", at positions 355 to 774 of the family's 1533-position model. The record is from RNAcentral.
UAAGGAAUAUUGCUCAAUGGGAGAAAUCCUGAAGCAGCAACGCCGCGUGGAGGAUGAAGGGUCUAUGACUUGUAAACUCCUGUAAAGAAGGAAAAAAUUCCCAUUUGAUGGGAGAUGAUGGUACUUCUGGAGUAAGCCCCGGCUAACUACGUGCCAGCAGCCGCGGUAAUACGUAGGGGGCAAGCGCUGUCCGGAUUUACUGGGUGUAAAGGGUGCUCAGGCGGAUUUGUAAGUCAGAGGUGAAAUCUUACAGCUUAACUGUGAAACUGCCUUUGAUACUGCAAGACUAGAGUAUGGAAGAGAGUGAUGGAAUAUCUGGUGUAGCAGUGAAAUGCGUAGAUAUCAGAUAGAACACCAAUGGCGAAGGCAGUCACUUGGUCCAUUACUGACGCUAAAGUACGAAAGCGUGGGUAGCAAACA